Molecule: ribosomal RNA, 465 nt
Filed under: Salmonella enterica
Lineage: Bacteria; Pseudomonadati; Pseudomonadota; Gammaproteobacteria; Enterobacterales; Enterobacteriaceae
Description: bacterial SSU rRNA
Rfam family: Bacterial small subunit ribosomal RNA
Source: RNAcentral
AAAUUGAAGAGUUUGAUCAUGGCUCAGAUUGAACGCUGGCGGCAGGCCUAACACAUGCAAGUCGAACGGUAACAGGAAGCAGCUUGCUGCUUUGCUGACGAGUGGCGGACGGGUGAGUAAUGUCUGGGAAACUGCCUGAUGGAGGGGGAUAACUACUGGAAACGGUGGCUAAUACCGCAUAACGUCGCAAGACCAAAGAGGGGGAUCUUCGGGCCUCUUGCCAUCAGAUGUGCCCAGAUGGGAUUAGCUAGUUGGUGAGGUAACGGCUCACCAAGGCGACGAUCCCUAGCUGGUCUGAGAGGAUGACCAGCCACACUGGAACUGAGACACGGUCCAGACUCCUACGGGAGGCAGCAGUGGGGAAUAUUGCACAAUGGGCGCAAGCCUGAUGCAGCCAUGCCGCGUGUAUGAAGAAGGCCUUAGGGUUGUAAAGUACUUUCAGCGGGGAGGAAGGUGUUGUGGUUA